RNAcentral lists this ribosomal RNA (253 nucleotides) under uncultured bacterium. RNAcentral describes it as "partial 16S ribosomal RNA". It matches the Rfam family "Bacterial small subunit ribosomal RNA", at positions 524 to 776 of the family's 1533-position model. The record is from RNAcentral.
AACGUAGGAGACAAACGUUAUCCGGAGUUACUGGGCGUAAAGGGCGUGUAGGUGGUUGUGUAAGUCUGGCGUGAAAUUUUUCGGCUUAACCGGGAAAGGUCGUCGGAUACUGCAGAACUAGAGGACGGUAGAGGCGUGUGGAAUUCCGGGUGUAGUGGUGAGAUGCGUAGAGAUCCGGAGGAACACCAGUGGCGAAGGCGACACGCUGGGCCGUACCUGACACUGAUGCGCGACAGCAUGGGGAGCAAACAGG